GUAGUUUUAAUUAUAAAAAAAUAAGCCCAUCAUCGGACUAAUUCCCAGUUUUACCAGUCUAACCAGCUGAUCUAGACCAGUUUCAAAACACGGUACCCAACAAAUUCACCACUGGCCUACAAGCCAAAUCUCAGUUCUUCUCCUAUUCAACAACCAGUUCAUGGUUCAGACCUUGGUCUUGGCAGUGAGGAGUCUAAUCAUAACCGUGCACCUUUUUAAGUGUUACAAUAAAGAAAACAAUCACAUGAAAAAUAAGAAUUCUAAUCCUUUGUUGCUUGCUUAGCUCACCUUAAGUUCUCUUCUUGCAGUU
RNAcentral lists this unclassified non-coding RNA (310 nucleotides) under Hevea brasiliensis (rubber tree). Lineage: Eukaryota; Viridiplantae; Streptophyta; Magnoliopsida; Malpighiales; Euphorbiaceae. The record is from RNAcentral.